Long non-coding RNA from Stegostoma tigrinum, 342 nucleotides. RefSeq lists it as uncharacterized. The record is from RefSeq and is a predicted model, not a curated record. The transcript has 2 exons. NCBI's taxonomy places the organism in Eukaryota, Metazoa, Chordata, Chondrichthyes, Orectolobiformes, Stegostomatidae.
AUCCUGGCCCUCGGAGGAACUUCCACGUCAAGUGUUAUCGCUGUGAGGACUGCUCCAAGCAGCUGUCUUCGGAGGCCACGGAAGAUGGGUGCUACCCCUUGGACGAUCACGUCCUGUGCUUGCAGUGUCACCAGUCUCGCCUCAACAAGGCCUCGCGGAAGUGACGGGCCCUGGCACGCUACCGCCUCCCAUGCCGGAGCCGAGCAGCUUCCGAACGGGACCGGCCCAGCCCGGAGCACUGCUUCUCACCUUCCUCUCUCUCGCUCCCUCCCUCUCUGUACCGCUUCACGUUUUAAUCCGAGAAAGAAUCAGCAGGAAAAAUAAAUAAGAGCAUUUACUUAA